RNAcentral lists this ribosomal RNA (433 nucleotides) under uncultured bacterium. Its description in RNAcentral is "partial 16S ribosomal RNA". It matches the Rfam family "Bacterial small subunit ribosomal RNA", at positions 29 to 507 of the family's 1533-position model. The record is from RNAcentral.
AACGAACGCUGGCGGCAUGCCUAACACAUGCAAGUCGAACGAGACCUUCGGGCUUACUGGCUCAAGUGUGCGUAACGCGUUGAAACAUGCCCUUAUAAUCUGAAUAAAUCCCCGAAAUGGGUGCUAAUACCUGAUAAUGUCUUCGGACCAAAGAUUUAUCCCCUUUGGAUGGGCUCGCGUUGGAUUAGCUUGUUGGUAGGGUAAAAGCCUACCAAGGCGACUAUCCAUAGCUGGUCUGAGAGGAUGACCAGCCACAAUGGGACUGAGACACGGCCCAGACUCCUACGGGAGGCAGCAGUGGGGAAUAUUGGACAAUGGGCGAAAGCCUGAUCCAGCAAUGCCGCGUGAGUGAUGAAGGCCUUAGGGUUGUAAAGCUAUUUUACAAGGGAUGAUAAUGACAGUACCGGGAGAAUAAGCUCCGGCUAACUCCGUG